Molecule: non-coding RNA, 424 nt
Organism: Nannospalax galili (Upper Galilee mountains blind mole rat)
Lineage: Eukaryota; Metazoa; Chordata; Mammalia; Rodentia; Spalacidae
Source: the annotation of a RefSeq genome assembly
GUGAUCAGCACUGAACAGACUCACCAUGGAGUUGGGGCUGAUCUGGGUUUUCCUUGUUGCUCUUUUAAAAGGUGUCCAGUGUGAGGUGCAGCUGGUGGAGUCUGGUGGAGGUUUGGUGCAGCCUGGGGGAUCCUUGAAACUCUCCUGUGCAGCCUCUGGAUUCACCUUCAGUGAUUAUGUGAUGAGCUGGUUCCGCCAGACUCCAGAGAAGAGGCUUGAGUGGAUCUCAGCCAUCAGUAAUGAUGGUAGUGGUACAGAAUACACAGAAUCUGUGAAAGGCAGAUUCACCAUCUCCAGAGACAAUGCCAAGAACACCCUGUACCUGCAAAUGAACAGGCUGAAAUCUGAGGACACAGCCACUUAUUGGUGUUGGCUGCAGGUCCCAGGCUUGGCGGCUUCAGGCUCAUUAUUUUAUUUUCAUUAA